RNAcentral lists this ribosomal RNA (254 nucleotides) under uncultured bacterium. RNAcentral describes it as "partial 16S ribosomal RNA". It matches the Rfam family "Bacterial small subunit ribosomal RNA", at positions 82 to 334 of the family's 1533-position model. The record is from RNAcentral.
UCCCAGGCGUCGAGCGGCGGACGGGUGAGUAACGCGUAGGAAUCUACCCAGUAGCGGGGGAUAGCCCGGGGAAACCCGGAUUAAUACCGCAUACGCCCCACGGGGGAAAGGGGGGGGAUCUUUUCGGAGACCUCUCACUAUUGGAGGAGCCUGCGUUGGAUUAGCUAGUUGGUAGGGUAAAGGCCUACCAAGGCGACGAUCCAUAGCUGUUCUGAGAGGAAGAUCAGCCACACUGGAACUGAGACACGGUCCAG